UGAUUGAAGAUUUUUUUUUAACUCCAGCAAAGAAAAAGUUAAACCAAACGGUUCAACAUCCAAGUUUUCAUGUCCGAUUGAAGUUAUGAAGAGGGCAAAACCCCAAUUGAUUGAAAUUUUGGGGCUGCAUCUAAAGGAAUUUGUUUCUUUUCUUCGUCUUCACCUGUCCAACUUUCUUCGUCGUCAUAUAAUCUGAUCCUCCCUCUUCUCUCUCCUUUCUUCAGGUAAGAAGAUAGAGCUUCGAACAUCUGAGAAGGGGCAGGACGAAAUGCACGUCAAAUUUAAAUCCGGUCAAGCUGAGGGGCAGGAGCAGGAGCAAAUGCACUGACUGCAUUUAAAUCUGAUGAAGCUAGGUGUAAUACCCCAGACUUUCAAAGAUAAGCGACCCCUGAUUUGACUAUUCAGUGUGCGAAUUGGAAUCCGGGAUCAAAGAUGGAAAAUUUGGAUUUUGAGGGUCAUAACGGACCGUCACUAUUGAUAUAACGACUUUUAUGAGAUUUUGAGUGGCCGCGUACCAUGUGGAAAAGGCUUGGUAACGGACCGUUACCAAAACCAUAAUGGUCCGUUACGGAAUGGCUAAGGGCAUAGCCAGGAGGUGACACGUGUCUGGAUGACUAAUCAUCGGUAACGUACCAUCACUGUCACGGUCCAUUUCGUGUCCACAGUGCAGAUAUUAGUCCACAAGACUCCACCCUUUUGUAUGAUGUCGUGGAAGUCCGGUAUGCCACACCAUACUCAAGAAGAUGCGGAAACUCAAUAUCAUUGUUACAUAGUAACUCGCCAGGGAUUGAAAUAUAAAUGCUCACUUUCUUUAAUAAUAAAAUUAACAUUACUUGGUUAGAAUCACACGGUGAUGUGUGAUUCUUAGUCGUAGUCAACUAGCAUACAAUGACAUUGAUUAGAAUAUUUGGCUAUAUUGAAUAAGUCUAAUGAACCUA
This 938-nucleotide long non-coding RNA is filed under the name Helianthus annuus (common sunflower). The record is from RNAcentral. Lineage: Eukaryota; Viridiplantae; Streptophyta; Magnoliopsida; Asterales; Asteraceae.